Long non-coding RNA from Neocloeon triangulifer, 467 nucleotides. RefSeq lists it as uncharacterized. The transcript has 3 exons. The record is from RefSeq and is a predicted model, not a curated record. Lineage: Eukaryota; Metazoa; Arthropoda; Insecta; Ephemeroptera; Baetidae.
UUCCUCUGGCCCUUCUUUGGUCUUUCAGCAAGCCAUGCAAGCCCACCGAGCAGCAACAUCAUUUGCUAAGCGUGCCUCACUUUCAAUCCACCCUCAACAACCCACGCACAUCGAGUAAAGCAGCCGUCUUAAUAUUUUUGUGACGUUCCUCUGGCCCUUCUUUGGUCUUUCAGCAAGCCAUGCAAGCCCACCGAGCAGCAACAUCAUUUGCUAAGCGUGCCUCACUUUCAAUCCACCCUCAACAACCCACGCACAUCGAGUAAAGCAGCCGUCUUAAUAUUUUUGUGACGUUCCUCUGGCCCUUCUUUGGUCUUUCAGCAAGCCAUGCAAGCCCACUGAGCAGCAACAUCAUUUGCUAAGCGUGCCUCACUUUCAAUCCACCCUCAACAACCCACGCACAUCGAGUAAAGCAGCCGGCUUAAUAUUUUUGUAAGUAAAUUUUAUAUUUAUUUUCUAUUUAAUUUCUA